This 1771-nucleotide long non-coding RNA is filed under the name Capsicum annuum. RNAcentral's name for it is "long non-coding RNA (CANN_LNC012622)". Lineage: Eukaryota; Viridiplantae; Streptophyta; Magnoliopsida; Solanales; Solanaceae. The record is from RNAcentral.
ACAAUACACACACAUUCAAACGCAAAACCCAUCUGAUUUUCCUCCCAUUCUCCCUCUAUCUCAUGUUACUCCACCUUUCUUCUUCUCCGAUGAGCAAAACCAGUCGACUCCAGCGAAACCACAACCAUCGGAGUACGGCCUCUGAUCUCCAACCUCACACCAUUACCUCCUUCCCCUUUCAUCUCCCCCUCCCCAUUUCCCACUCUUUUCCACCACGGCAUCCCCGAAAUUGAUGGUCGGAGGGCUCCCAACGGCACUAUCGCAACUGUGCUGCCCCUUUUCCUCUCCCAUUUGCACUGGUUAGUAUAAAAAAUGGUCAGAUUCAUCUAUUUUCAUGCUUCUCCAGUGUUGCUCUGGCAUUUUUCCUGGGAGCAAUGCCUUCCCCUUCCUUAUUUGUCACAAAUAUGACCGAAGAGUUCAUUCUCUUGCGAGGUUUCCUAUUUUUGUUCAAAAUCCAUCAUUUUUGCUACACUUCGGAUUAUGUUGGAUAUAUUUUAUAUAUUUAUUUGUUAUAUUGUUUUGUUGCUAGUCAUGUUGUCUUGCUGCUCAUAUCUUUAUUGUUGUUGAAAAUUGUUUAAAUUUUAUGUCCCAGUGGCUUCUUGGUGAACUGUUUUGCUACUUUGUGUCAUUGCUAUUGUUAUUCUUGGAUUGAUUUUACCUUAUGUUGCUAAAUUCAUGUCGUCUUAGAGCCCCUAAUAAUUAACUCAAGUGACGAUCUCGUUCCUUCGUUGUUUGGUUAUUUUUAAUCUAUUGUUGCCUUGUGAUAUUUUAUUUAUUUGUUUAAACGGAUGAAUGAUGAGGUACUUGGCCAAUGAAAAUAUUACCGUCGUAUUUUGAGGCCUCCACAAAUAAAAAAUGGAUUAAACAUAUACAAAUACCUAAUAAAAAAUAAAUAUUUUGGGUGAUGACGAAAUUGUUAUAAUAUUUUAAAACUUUAUCCAAGCCUACUUUUUAAUGAAAAUUAUAUUUUUAAUAUAUUCUUUUUUACAUAUAUGAACACAUACCUUCUCAAUUCAUUUGAUAAUUAUUUAUUCUUUAGUAACAUUUUUAUUAUAAGUGUUUAUACAGGUUAUCGAGAAUACUUAUCGAAAACGAUAUUCAAAGAAGAAUUUUAAAUUUUGUGUUUGUAAUUUUUAUUCUUACACUUGUGUAAGUAUCAUCAUAGCAGAAAUUUUAUUUUGGAGCAUUGGGUGUUGAUAUUCUUUAUUUAUGUAAUCUUCACCGCACGUUUAGGCAAAUUUAGGUCGUUACUAUUUAUAUAAAAAAAGAAUUAAAUUGAUUUAGAUAUUUAAUUGAAUAAAUUACACUUUUUACACUAAAAUAUUACGUAUUUUUAUCAUUAGAACAGAUUUUUGUUUUUCAAUCUUUCUAUUUUUAAUACAUAUUCUCAUGCACUUUAAUUUAUCUGCAUACACUUUUUAUACGCAUAUAAGAUGAAAUAUGUAAUUUACAUAUUUUUUACAUAUAAAUUAUUUAUAUCAUCUUAAUACACAUUUUAUAUUUGUAUUUACAAACACUGGUUUUUUUCCUUGUUUAAUAAACCUAAGUCUGUCCGAGAACCACAUUUGUGGAUUCUGAAGGGUGCCUAACUCCUUCUAUUUGGAAUCAUUUGAACCUUACCGAGAAUUUAAAUUGGUUCAUAGAUUAAAAACACAAUUCAUACAUGUUAAUAAAUAAAUAGGUUUCCUUAAAAAUUAGAUGGCGACUCUGUAUAAAAUUAAUUUUUUGUGAGUCCAUAAUAUCGUGCUUGUUUUAAUCUAUGUAAAAAUAG